This 1473-nucleotide ribosomal RNA is filed under the name metagenome. Its description in RNAcentral is "bacterial SSU rRNA". It matches the Rfam family "Bacterial small subunit ribosomal RNA". The record is from RNAcentral.
AGAGUUUGAUCCUGGCUCAGAAUCAACGCUGGCGGCGUGCCUAACACAUGCAAGUCGAACGAGAAAGUUGUCUUCGGAUGACGAGUAAAGUGGCAAACGGGUGAGUAACGCGUGGGACAUCUACCCUGAUGAGGGGAAUAACUCUCCGAAAGGAGAGCUAAUACCGCAUAUUCCGGUUUACCAGGAAAGGCCUUCGGGUCGCAUCAGGAGGAGCCCGCGUCCGAUUAGCUAGUUGGUGAGGUAAUGGCUCACCAAGGCGACGAUCGGUAGCCGGUCUGAGAGGACGGACGGCCACACUGGGACUGAGACACGGCCCAGACUCCUACGGGAGGCAGCAGUGGGGAAUUUUGGGCAAUGGGCGAAAGCCUGACCCAGCAACGCCGCGUGGAGGUAGAAGGUUUUCGGAUCGUAAACUCCUGUCCCAUGAGACGAAAAAGAUGACGGUAUCAUGGGAGGAAGCCCCGGCUAACUCCGUGCCAGCAGCCGCGGUAAUACGGGGGGGGCAAGCGUUGUUCGGAAUUACUGGGCGUAAAGGGCGCGUAGGCGGCUUCGGAAGUCAAGGGUGAAAGCCCCGAGCUCAACUCGGGAACUGCCUUUGAAACCACGGAGCUAGAGUGUUGGAGAGGAAAGCGGAAUUUCCAGUGUAGCGGUGAAAUGCGUAGAUAUUGGAAGGAACAUCCGAGGCGAAGGCGGCUUUCUGGACACACACUGACGCUGAGGCGCGAAAGCUAGGGGAGCGAACGGGAUUAGAUACCCCGGUAGUCCUAGCUGUAAACGAUGAACACUUGGUGUGGGGGGUAUAAAGUCCCUCCGUGCCGUAGAUAACUCGAUAAGUGUUCCGCCUGGGGAGUACGGCCGCAAGGCUGAAACUCAAAGGAAUUGACGGGGGCCCGCACAAGCGGUGGAGCAUGUGGUUUAAUUCGACGCAACGCGAAGAACCUUACCGGGGUUUGAACUGUACCUGCGACAUCCAGAGAUGGAUGGUUUCCUUAGGGAACUGGUAUAGAGGUGCUGCAUGGCUGUCGUCAGCUCGUGUCGUGAGAUGUUGGGUUAAGUCCCGCAACGAGCGCAACCCUUGUCUGUAGUUGCCAUCAGGUUAAGCUGGGCACUCUACGGAGACUGUCGGCGAUAAGCCGGAGGAAGGUGGGGAUGACGUCAAGUCCUCAUGGCCUUUAUGUCCCGGGCUACACACGUGCUACAAUGGAUGGAACAGAGGGCUGCAAGCCUGCGAAGGCAAGCGAAUCCCAAAAAUCCAUUCUCAGUUCGGAUUGCAGUCUGCAACUCGACUGCAUGAAGUUGGAAUCGCUAGUAAUCGCGGAUCAGAACGCCGCGGUGAAUACGUUCCCGGGCCUUGUACACACCGCCCGUCACAUCACGAAAGUGGGCUGUACUAGAAGCCGCUGGCCCAACCUCUUCGGAGGAGGGAGGCGUCGACGGUAUGGUUCAUGAUUGGGGUGAAGUCGGAACAAGGUA